AUUGAACGCUGGUGGAAUGCUUUACACAUGCAAGUCGAACGGUAGAGGGGGCAACCCCUCGAGAGUGGCGAACGGGUGAGUAAUAUAUCGGAACGUGCCCAGUCGUGGGGGAUAACGUAGCGAAAGUUACGCUAAUACCGCAUACGAUCUAAGGAUGAAAGCGGGGGAUCGCAAGACCUCGCGCGAUUGGAGCGGCCGAUAUCAGAUUAGGUAGUUGGUGGGGUAAAGGCUCACCAAGCCAAAGAUCUGUAGCUGGACUGAGAGGACGACCAGCCACACUGGAACUUGUGAACGGUCCAGACUCCUACGGGAGGCAGCAGUGGGGAAUUUUGGACAAUGGACGCAAGUCUGAUCCAGCCAUUCCGCGUGCAGGAUGAAGGCCCUCGGGUUGUAAACUGCUUUUGUACGGAACGAAAAGGUCUCUCUUAAUACGGGGGGCUCAUGACGGUACCGUAAGAAUAAGCACCGGCUAACUACGUGCCAGCAGCCGCAGUAA
This 496-nucleotide ribosomal RNA is filed under the name uncultured bacterium. RNAcentral's name for it is "partial 16S ribosomal RNA". It matches the Rfam family "Bacterial small subunit ribosomal RNA", at positions 30 to 523 of the family's 1533-position model. The record is from RNAcentral.